This 490-nucleotide ribosomal RNA is filed under the name uncultured bacterium. RNAcentral describes it as "partial 16S ribosomal RNA". It matches the Rfam family "Bacterial small subunit ribosomal RNA", at positions 29 to 505 of the family's 1533-position model. The record is from RNAcentral.
AGUGAACGCUGGCGGUAGGCCUAACACAUGCAAGUCGAACGGCAGCACAGUAAGAGCUUGCUCUUACGGGUGGCGAGUGGCGGACGGGUGAGGAAUACAUCGGAAUCUACUUUUUCGUGGGGGAUAACGUAGGGAAACUUACGCUAAUACCGCAUACGACCUACGGCAGAAAGCAGGGGAUCUUCGGACCUUGCGCGAUUGAAUGAGCCGAUGUCGGAUUAGCUUGUUGGCGGGGUAAAGGCCCACCAAGCCGACGAGCCGUGGCUGGUCUGAGAGGAUGACCAGCAACACUGAAACUGGGACACGGUCCGGACUCCAACGGGAGGCAGCAGUGGGAAAUAUUGGAAAAGGGGCGCAGGCCUGCUCCAGCAAUACCGCGUGGGUGAGGAAGGCCGUCGGGUGGUAAAGCCCUUUUGUAGGGAAAGAAAAGCAGCAGGGUAAUACCCCGCGUUUCGGACGGUACCCAAAAAAUAAGCACCGGCUAACUUCG